Molecule: ribosomal RNA, 274 nt
Filed under: uncultured bacterium
Lineage: Bacteria
Description: partial 16S ribosomal RNA
Rfam family: Bacterial small subunit ribosomal RNA
Source: RNAcentral
AUACGGAGGGUGCAAGCGUUAAUCGGAAUUACUGGGCGUAAAGCGUGCGCAGGCGGUUUGUUAAGUCAGAUGUGAAAGCCCCGGGCUCAACCUGGGAACUGCAUUUGAAACUGGCAAACUAGAGUGUGGUAGAGGGAAGUGGAAUUCCUCAUGUAGCGGUGAAAUGCGUAGAUAUGAGGAGGAACACCAGUGGCGAAGGCGACUUCCUGGACCAACACUGACGCUCAUGUACGAAAGCGUGGGUAGCAAACAGGAUUAGAAACCCUAGUAGUCC